Molecule: long non-coding RNA, 1112 nt
Filed under: Triticum aestivum (bread wheat)
Lineage: Eukaryota; Viridiplantae; Streptophyta; Magnoliopsida; Poales; Poaceae
Description: long non-coding RNA (TAES_LNC023780)
Source: RNAcentral
CUCAACACUCUCAAGGACCAGCUUAGGGGACUGGAGGCAGGUCCGGCAGAAGCUCUGUCCAGUAAGCAUUUCUUCACCCUUGGGCAACUUUGCACAAAUGGAUUGUGUAUUACACUCCAAGUGCUUCUUUUUGUUAUGGAUGGUUCGGUCUAUGAGCCAUGUGAUCAAUGUUUGAUUUCAUCGUUGUCCUUUGCUGCAUUUGAUGGACUUGUAAACUAUCUCUGCGGCACAAAAUUUGACCAUGGAGAUGACUAACAUGGCUUCUCUGUCUUAUGCUCUAUUUGUCAGUGAAAAAUCUUGCACCUUGACCGACAGAAUUAAGAGGGACUAGAAUGGGGAAGGACCUCUGUUGUAUCAGCUAACAGUAACACAUCAGCAGUACCUAAUGAUGUAUGGUUCCAACCCUCAAGCCCACGAUGGAACUGGUUACUUGAAUGUGAAUGGCCAACUCCAUGCCAGCUAUCUUUUAAUCUUACUAUGCUUUUGCAUUAUCUUCUUCAGUGAGAAGUUGUUAUAUUUGAAAGGGAACAGGGCAACGUGUUGCAUUCUUGCUUUUGUUAGAGCACUAUAUUUUAUUAUUAACCAUGCUAUGGUCCAAACUCCUUUUUAUUCUGCUCAUAUGAUAUUUCUCAUCUUUUGUUUUCUGUCCUGAUGCCUCCUGUAUUUAGAGUAGAAAUAUUCUUAAUUUAGUGUUUCUUGAACAUGGCCAGGGCAAUGGAUAAAAUCUACUCCGGAGAGUUGACAGAGGGAGCACAUGCUAAGUUGACUUUUUCCUACGGAUUUGCUUAUCGUGAAGAUGCUUGCAAGGAUGCAGAGGGAGCGGAUCAUUUGGAGAGAUGCCACUGUUUGGUGUUUUUAUGCAUUUUGGUUUGCUUGUAACUGUGUUUGCACUAGCUGGGAGUAAGUGACUUGGCAAGAAGUGUAGGUGUUUUAAUUGAAGGCCUGAAAACCAUGACAAUUAUGUAUGCUCUUACAGGAUGUGCUCUAAUGCCGCUGGUUUAUUAUAAAUCUAGGAUUAGUAAUGAUGUGUACUGCUGCUGGUUUAUUGCAAAUAUGUGUUUGUUUAGUUGUUGGAAUUGUAUGCAUAGAAUGGAAUUGGUGGCUUUUAUUUU